UGGGAAGAGCAGUGAAUGCUUCUCAGGC
Molecule: non-coding RNA, 28 nt
Filed under: Rattus norvegicus (Norway rat)
Lineage: Eukaryota; Metazoa; Chordata; Mammalia; Rodentia; Muridae
Source: RNAcentral